UACGUAGGUGGCAAGCGUUGUCCGGAUUUACUGGGCGUAAAGAGCGCGCAGGCGGUCGGAUAAGUCGAAUGUGAAAGCCCCCGGCUCAACUGGGGAGGGUCAUUCGAUACUGUUCGACUCGAAGGCAGGAGAGGGAAGUGGAAUUCCCGGUGUAGUGGUGAAAUGCGUAGAUAUCGGGAGGAACACCAGUGGCGAAGGCGACUUCCUGGCCUGUUAUUGACGCUGAGGCGCGAAAGCUAGGGGAGCAAACGGG
RNAcentral lists this ribosomal RNA (253 nucleotides) under uncultured bacterium. RNAcentral's name for it is "partial 16S ribosomal RNA". It matches the Rfam family "Bacterial small subunit ribosomal RNA", at positions 524 to 776 of the family's 1533-position model. The record is from RNAcentral.